Molecule: unclassified non-coding RNA, 296 nt
Filed under: Hevea brasiliensis (rubber tree)
Lineage: Eukaryota; Viridiplantae; Streptophyta; Magnoliopsida; Malpighiales; Euphorbiaceae
Source: RNAcentral
AAGUCACUUUGAUUGUUUUCAAUAUUAAUAUCUUCAUUUAAAUGAUUUCUCGAUGGAUCAGAUGAAACUUCCUCAGGUUUACCAGAGUUGUCAGUUAUCAGUGAUUGAACAUCUUCACUGCUCAACACUCCAAUAGCAUCAUAUGGAUGAGAGAUUACAGUUUUAUCUUCAUCUAUCUCAACAACUUUCUCUUCUGUCUGCAGAGACUCCUCGUUGUUGUUGGAAUCUACAGAUUUAGGAGCUUUUGGGCUUUUGCCCUUCAACCUUUCAAUUCCCAUCUGCAAUGAUAUUAUUUC